UACGGCACUGAAGUGAUUGAUACCAAGCUUCCAGGAAAAGCCACUAAGCUUCAGUCUAGAAUUGACCGUACCGCAAACCGACACAGGUGGGCAGGAUGAAAAUUCUAAGGCGCUUGAGAGAACUCAGGAGAAGGAACUCGGCAAAUUAACACCGUAACUUCGGGAGAAGGUGUGCCCCGGUAGGUUGUAGAGCUUCGCGCUCGAAGGCCGAUGGGGUUGCAGUGAAAUGGUGGCUGCGACUGUUUAAUAAAAACACAGCUCUCUGCAAACACGAAAGUGGACGUAUAGGGAGUGACGCCUGCCCGGUGCCGGAAGGUUAAUUGAUGGGGUGCAAGCUCUUGAUCGAAGCCCCGGUAAACGGCGGCCGUAACAAUAACGGUCCUAAGGUAGCGAAAUUCCUUGUCGGGUAAGUUCCGACCUGCACGAAUGGCGUAACGAUGGCCACACUGUCUCCUCCUGAGACUCAGCGAAGUUGAAAUGUUUGUGAAGAUGCAAUCUCCCCGCGGCAAGGCGGAAAGACCCCAUGAACCUUUACUGUAGCUUUGCAUUGGACUUUGAACCGGUCUGUGUAGGAUAGGUGGGAGACUAUGAAACCGGGACGCUAGUCUCGGUGGAGUCAACCUUGAAAUACCACCCUGGUUUGUUUGAGGUUCUAACCUUGAUCCGUGAAUCCGGAUCGGGGACCGUGCAUGGUGGGCAGUUUGACUGGGGCGGUCUCCUCCCAAAAGGUAACGGAGGAGUACGAAGGUACGCUUAGGGCGGUCGGACAUCGCCCAUAAAGUGCAAUGGCAAAAGCGUGCUUGACUGCGAGACCCACAAGUCGAGCAGGUGCGAAAGCAGGUCAUAGUGAUCCGGUGGUUCUGUAUGGAAGGGCCAUCGCUCAGCGGAUAAAAGGUACUCUGGGGAUAACAGGCUUAUACCGCCCAAGAGUUCAUAUCGACGGCGGUGUUUGGCACCUCGAUGUCGGCUCAUCUCAUCCUGGGGCUGUAGCCGGUCCCAAGGGUAUGGCUGUUCGCCAUUUAAAGAGGUACGUGAGCUGGGUUUAAAACGUCGUGAGACAGUUUGGUCCCUAUCUGCCGUGGGCGCUGGAAAUUUGAAGGGGGCUGCUCCUAGUACGAGAGGACCGGAGUGGACGAACCUCUGGUGUACCGGUUAUGACGCCAGUCGUAUCGCCGGGUAGCUAUGUUCGGAAGAGAUAAACGCUGAAAGCAUCUAAGCGUGAAACUCGCCUUAAGAUAAGAUUUCCCGGAGUCUUGAACUCCUUAAAGGGUCGUCGAAGACCACGACGUUGAUAGGUCAGGUGUGGAAGCGCAGUAAUGCGUUAAGCUAACUGAUACUAAUUGCCCGUACGGCUUGA
This 1357-nucleotide ribosomal RNA is filed under the name metagenome. RNAcentral describes it as "bacterial LSU rRNA". It matches the Rfam family "Bacterial large subunit ribosomal RNA", at positions 1578 to 2925 of the family's 2925-position model. The record is from RNAcentral.